GAUAGCCGUGCUGGUUUUAAGAGGUUUGUCUUUACUCCUCGGUGAUGUGGGCAGCUCCCAAGGCUCCCGCGCGUCCUCUCCAUAGCAGAUGUGACUUGAUAGGGGGGAGAACAACCAGAUCUGAGAAGAAAAACGUGGACUCCACACCCUAGUGCUUUUUAGCAUAUUCUGGAACCAGUGCCAUGUGGCUUGGCCAUUGGAGUCUGUCCUUCCUGCCAGGGCAGCUCCCAUUCCUGGGAGCAUCAUACAGGUGACUGGGGAUGCAGCACCGAGCAGCCCAGACUGGACUCCUCCCUCAUGAAACUCACGUCCCACUGGAAGAGGCAGGUGAUCCAGGUAUCAAUGGCUUUCCUCCUGGGUCAUGUUGGUUUAUUACUGGCUCUUCAAAAGAUAUGACCAGAGGCCAGGACUUCAUCACUGCUGACUGCAGUCCUCCAGCAGACAUCAGGUUCUGUUAAUGCAGCCCAAGGUCACAUGCACUGCUGCUUAACGUGGGCCCAGCCAAGAACACUGUAUCUUUGUGAGGGAUGCUCUGAACUCAAAAGCCUUUACGAGAUCCUGGGGCCAUGUCUGCUGCUUGGACUGUGUCUGGGAAGCUGGACUCCUGGCUGGUGGGCAGUGGGCUGGAGCGACACUGCCCCCUCAUGGUCUCCUCUGAAACAUGCGACCAUCAGGAGUCUGUGGAAAGUGCUACUACAGUGACGAGCAUACAAGCAGAGGUCCUGAGCGCCGGCUCCUGGUUCUCACAGUUUCCCUGAGGAAGAAAUUGAAGCAGCAGGAAAGGACCAAGAAGCCACAGGUGCUCCCCAUCGCUGCUCUCAGAGACCUGCACCUGCCUGGGAAGCCGUCUUCCCCUGUGGCCCCUGGUGGGCAUGGGGCAGAGAAGCCCGGCUGGUCCUGGACAGUCCCUCUCCCUGCCUGUCUGGGCUUGGUGCUGCUGCUCUGCCCAUGUCCUUGCUUUGCCCAGAUGCCUGGCUGGCUCAGAGGACUUCUGCCAGUCCUUCUGGGUCUGCGGGCUGGAGUAGCGGCUGGGAGGUGAGUCUGUUUACUCCAUCGCCCCCUCUUCACCCUCCACAGCACAAGGCAGAGCGCUCACUUAGAUUAAUUAAUCUGCUGCCCAGCCUGCUUCUCUGACCCAUCUUUUAUUCAUGGACAAGCGGCGUUCUCUGCCUUACUAGGACGCGAGCAUCAAUAUUUCAUCCUGGCUUCGCCUGCCAGCAUCCUGCUCCCUCCUUCCUGCGUCCCACCCGCUCUAGGACCCGGAGGGCUGGGGCAUGCUGGCCUAGCCCAGGGCGUCAUCGCGGAUGCCCAUGCUGCCUUCUUUGGCCCCUUAGCCUGCCCACUGUGCCAUCAUGGGCAGAGCCAGCAUCCGAGCCAGAAGCCUUUCUGAGUAAGUGAGCUGGAGAGGUGGCGCAGGUGGAGGGGCUGGGCCUGGAGGGAGGGUCUGGGCUCAGGAUCCUGCAUGGGUCGGGGGAGAUGUCCUGGUGUGUGUAUGGGGGAGGGGGAUGAUGCUGCAGCUGACAUGACAGUCUUGUCACUGUGUUGCUGGGUGGCUGUCAGGGCAGGAGACGAGGGCUGUGCAGUGCCUGACACAGCUGGGUCCACAGCAAGUGCUCAUUUUCCUGCCUUCAUUUUCUUUCUUCAGUUUUCUCUUACACCAGGUGUUACUGAUCUUUUCCGCCCUCCUAUCCUCAGCUGUUUAUUGAAGGAAGUGAUACCAGCGUUCAGGAGACACCUUCUGUACCCCCAGCACCCAGCCCUUCUCACCUCGUUCCCUUCCCGGUGCCCCAGGCUUCCCCGUGGGUGCUCAGGACCACAGAGUCUGAACCUCGGACCUGGAGGAGCCCUUACCUGGAUCCCAGCCCAGGGCUCUUAGCCUGGGGCCCAUGGAGGGCCUUCCGGAAGAGAUAACAACAGACCAACCUGGAGGGUUCUUGUGAAGACAAAAACGAGACCAAGACACUUAGCGUGGUGUGUGGCGCAGCGUGAGUGGUCAAGGAACACGAGGCUGUCACUUUACAAGAUGCCCGCUGUGCCUCACCACAUCAGAUGCUGGCCUCGACUCUGAGCCGGCAGUGCAGCGCUUGCCAGGCCCCUUCCAGGAACAACGCCGUCUAGAGACAGAUAAGUGGAAGAUGCAGACCUCUGCUGGACCCAGGGGUUUGGAUCAUUUUCCUUGCGGAUGGAAUACCCAGAAGGCCACCCUGGACCAGGGUUCUGAAAGACUCAUGAUGGCUAUGGAGUGAAGGCCCUCUAUUGUCUUCAAGAGGAGGCCAAGGCUCAGGAAGAAGGAGGUGGUUUAUCCUUAAAAGGAUGUGCCCUGUGAGUCCCACCACACAGCGCCUUUCUCAACCUUUGCCCUUCUCUUUGGGCUCCCACGGUGAUCUUUGUGAACAUUCAUACUCCAGGGAGCUGGCUGCAUUUGGCUGAUGUCUUCAUGUGCUCACAAAGUGUUGAGUGAUUUGUGAACCCUGGUUUGGGAAGCAAGGCUUUGAAUUAUCUGCACGUCUGUCUCACAGUCUUGCCGUCCUCACAGGCACUCUCCCAGUGAGAUGGUAAAGAUAUCCUGUUGCUCAGCAUGUCCAGGGCACCAUUUGACCAGCUAAUAAUCCUUGGUGGAAAAGAAACACCUCUUUUUCAGUAGUUCCAGGAAAAGUCCCAGGGCUGACUCUCAAGGAGCCAAUCUGGACCAUGAGCCCAUCCCAGAAGCAAUCUCUGUGGCCAGGAAGAUGGACUAUCCUGAGCUGAGGGAUGGGGUGGAGGUUAGCAAUAGCUGAACCACUUGAAUUGCAAGUGGGGUGUAGUUGGGGGGGGUAGUUCCCAAAUAGGAAAUCAGAAUGCUGGACUGUUGAAUGCUAAGCUGGCAAAAACACAGCUAGUCCACUAUAGACGAUGGCAGUGCUGUGCACCAGCUUGUAGCCCACUGCCUCGGACAGUGCAGGAGUUCAGUAAAGGUUUACUGAAUGAACACACAAAUGAUGAGAAAAGAACAUGUUUAGUGCCAAGCAAAGUUGCUCAUGAUUAUUCAUUACUUCCCACAAUAGCUCUGCAAAGAAGGCCUCAUUAUUUCCAUUUUGCAGAUGUAGAAAUUGAGGUUUAGAGAGUUUAUGGGAUCUGUCCAAGAUGACAGAAUGAAAAAGUGGUAGGGCUAGGACUCAAAGCCAGGUGGGUUUCAUUGCAGAGCUCGUGUUAUGCCUAUUAUACCACAUUGCCUUUGUCCAUCAAAAUUAUAGCCAGAGAAGAAAGAGUUUGAAAAUAUACCACUUUUAGGUGUAACAGUAAAAUAAACACAUUUGUUGGUCACCUUCCCACAGUUUACCACUGUACAAGCUCAAAUCUCCCUUUGUCUAGUCACUUCUCCCAAUUUAUUACUUUUUGUUAAAAUGGUUUAUAAGCCCCUGGAUUUAACCACCUUUUUGGGUUUUUAUUUCUUUUCUGUGAAACUUUAUGCACAUAUAAAUAUUAACACUAAUAAAAUUUG
This is a non-coding RNA of Vicugna pacos (alpaca), 3481 nucleotides long. NCBI's taxonomy places the organism in Eukaryota, Metazoa, Chordata, Mammalia, Artiodactyla, Camelidae. The record is from RefSeq and is a predicted model, not a curated record.